GACAUCUACAUUAUCGGCCUUCCGAUAACAGGUAUGCUGCUGUUUGGUGUUAGCAGUUUCCUGAUCGCAAAAUUCAACUGACGGGAGCGGCUCUAUUGGAAGUGAAGAGGCUGCCGGUCUAAGGAUGGCAUAGUGCGGAUGUCCAACACUCAGACUCAGACUGUGCUCAACCAUAAACUGUUGCGGUUUUGGAGCGUCUCUGCAAAAUGGUCAAGAACUUGGAGAAACUGGAAUCCGUGCUCAAAUACUGACAGAAAUCACGGAUUUGGCUGAUCGACACCACUAAAGAGACAUAAGCCACGGACUCAAGGCUGUCUUAAAUUCUUGGGCAGCCUGCUACCAAAACAACAUCUGCUAUCUCGACCUUCCCCUGAUGAAAGUAUGCACGGAAGCUAGUCCCCCACCAUCACCCCCUCCCUCAUACACUCCCUUGUAUCACCGUCUUCAUUGUUUAUGUCUUGUGACCUGUUGUAACUGUCACAUGCUUGUGCAGGAGUUUUUUGCCUAACUCAAAUUAUCCUCAAAAUGAGGAUAGUUCGUGGGUGGUGUUUUUUUUCCCCCA
Molecule: long non-coding RNA, 562 nt
Organism: Hippocampus comes (tiger tail seahorse)
Lineage: Eukaryota; Metazoa; Chordata; Actinopteri; Syngnathiformes; Syngnathidae
Exons: 3
Source: RefSeq, a predicted model, not a curated record